GACGAACGCUGGCGGCGUGCCUAAUACAUGCAAGUCGAACGCUUUUUCUUUCACCGGAGCUUGCUCCACCGAAAGAAAAAGAGUGGCGAACGGGUGAGUAACACGUGGGUAACCUGCCCAUCAGAAGGGGAUAACACUUGGAAACAGGUGCUAAUACCGUAUAACACUAUUUUCCGCAUGGAAGAAAGUUGAAAGGCGCUUUUGCGUCACUGAUGGAUGGACCCGCGGUGCAUUAGCUAGUUGGUGAGGUAACGGCUCACCAAGGCAACGUUGCAUAGCCGACCUGAGAGGGUGAUCGGCCACACUGGGACUGAGACCCGGCCCAGACUCCUACGGGAGGCAGCAGUAGGGAAUCUUCGGCAAUGGACGAAAGUCUGACCGAGCAACGCCGCGUGAGUGAAGUAGGUUUUCGGAUCGUAAAACUCUGUUGUUAGAGAAGAACAAGGAUGAGAGUAGAACGUUCAUCCCUUGACGGUAUCUAACCAGAAAGCCACGGCUAACUACGUGCCAGCAGCCGCCGUAA
Molecule: ribosomal RNA, 523 nt
Filed under: uncultured bacterium
Lineage: Bacteria
Description: partial 16S ribosomal RNA
Rfam family: Bacterial small subunit ribosomal RNA
Source: RNAcentral